RNAcentral lists this ribosomal RNA (485 nucleotides) under uncultured bacterium. RNAcentral describes it as "bacterial SSU rRNA". It matches the Rfam family "Bacterial small subunit ribosomal RNA", at positions 29 to 507 of the family's 1533-position model. The record is from RNAcentral.
ACGAACGUUGGCGGCGUGCUUAAUACAUGCAAGUCAACUGAAGCAUCGGUAGUAAUACUGGUGUGGAGGUGGCGCACGGGUGAGUAACACGUAGGUAAUCUGCCUUCAGGUCUGACAUAACCCCGAGAAAUCGGGGGCUAAUAGCAGAUGAUGCAGCGGCUUGACAUCAAGACAGUUGUUAAAGCUUCGGCGCCUGAAGAUGAGCCUGCGUCUGAUUAGCUAGUUGGCGGAGUAAUGGCCCACCAAGGCUACGAUCAGUAACUGGUCUGAGAGGAUGAUCAGUCACACUGGAACUGAGACACGGUCCAGACUCCUACGGGAGGCAGCAGUAAGGAAUAUUGCUCAAUGGGAGAAAUCCUGAAGCAGCAACGCCGCGUGGAGGGAUGGAAGGGUCUUUUGCUACGUAAACCUCUGUAGUGAGGGAAAAAAUUUCCACUCUGUGGAAUAUGAUGGUACCUCAAAAGUAAGCCCCGGCUAACUACGUG